Phycicoccus sp. Root563 is the source of this 111-nucleotide regulatory RNA element. It matches the Rfam family "SAM (S-adenosyl methionine) riboswitch aptamer". From Rfam's summary of the family: SAM-IV is a mRNA element that regulates gene expression via direct sensing of S-adenosylmethionine (SAM or AdoMet). SAM-IV riboswitches share conserved nucleotide positions with the previously described SAM-I riboswitches sequence analysis and molecular recognition experiments suggest that SAM-I and SAM-IV riboswitches share similar ligand binding sites, but have different scaffolds. The record is from Rfam. NCBI's taxonomy places the organism in Bacteria, Bacillati, Actinomycetota, Actinomycetes, Micrococcales, Intrasporangiaceae.
GGUCAUGAGUCCCAGCACCAAGCCCCGGCUUGCUGGGCGGCAACCCUCCUCGCGGUGGGGUGCCCCGGGUGAGGACCCGGCCGGCCCUGUCCUGGGCGGCAAGCGCGAUGG